RNAcentral lists this transfer RNA (61 nucleotides) under Oropsylla silantiewi. RNAcentral describes it as "tRNA-Cys". The record is from RNAcentral. RNAcentral also lists the same sequence under 2 other names. Lineage: Eukaryota; Metazoa; Arthropoda; Insecta; Siphonaptera; Ceratophyllidae.
GGCUUUAUAGUCAAAAAUGACAUUAAAUUGCAAAUUUAAAGGAAUAUAAAUAUUAAAGCUU